RNAcentral lists this ribosomal RNA (519 nucleotides) under uncultured bacterium. RNAcentral's name for it is "bacterial SSU rRNA". It matches the Rfam family "Bacterial small subunit ribosomal RNA", at positions 988 to 1509 of the family's 1533-position model. The record is from RNAcentral.
CCAGAGACUUAGCAGAGAUGCUUUGGUGCCUUCGGGAACUCUGAGACAGGUGCUGCAUGGCUGUCGUCAGCUCGUGUUGUGAAAUGUUGGUUAAGUCCCGCAACGAGCGCAACCCUUAUCCUUUGUUGCCAGCGGUCCGGCCGGGAACUCAAAGGAGACUGCCAGUGAUAAACUGGAGGAAGGUGGGGAUGACGUCAAGUCAUCAUGGCCCUUACGAGUAGGGCUACACACGUGCUACAAUGGCGCAUACAAAGAGAAGCGACCUCGCGAGGGCAAGCGGACCUCAUAAAGUGCGUCGUAGUCCGGAUUGGAGUCUGCAACUCGACUCCAUGAAGUCGGAAUCGCUAGUAAUCGUAGAUCAGAAUGCUACGGUGAAUACGUUCCCGGGCCUUGUACACACCGCCCGUCACACCAUGGGAGUGGGUUGCAAAAGAAGUAGGUAGCUUAACCUUCGGGAGGGCGCUUACCACUUUGUGAUUCAUGACUGGGGUGAAGUCGUAACAAGGUAAGCGUAGCGAG